Molecule: long non-coding RNA, 396 nt
Filed under: Cricetulus griseus (Chinese hamster)
Lineage: Eukaryota; Metazoa; Chordata; Mammalia; Rodentia; Cricetidae
Description: lncRNA (ENSCGRG00015039847.1)
Source: RNAcentral
GUGAAUCUGUGACUGCCAGUUUCAGUGAAAGACCCUGGCUCAAACAAUAUGGCGAAAGGGUGACAGAGGAAAACACCUAACAUCAGCAUCUGGCCUCAAUCGGCUCAUCUGCAUAUAUUUAAACAUCUGAGAUGCAAUGUGACCAGAUGCCUUAAGCUCCCAUUGCUACGGUUUCCCUGCCAUGAUGGACUGUAUCCUCCAACUGAUGUGUGAAGUAUUCUCAGGUGGUGGUGCAGACAGCAGGAAACCGUGGGUGGAUGUGCGAAAGGAACCCGGAAUGUGAACUGGAAGCCGGAUCCCUGUGGAUUUGUUUGGCCUUCACGCAUUCCAGGGUGUCCUCCAGGAGCAUUGGAACAAAGUCGGGAGGGUUCUGUCUACAACUGAGUCAGAGCACAG